Molecule: ribosomal RNA, 199 nt
Filed under: uncultured bacterium
Lineage: Bacteria
Description: partial 16S ribosomal RNA
Rfam family: Bacterial small subunit ribosomal RNA
Source: RNAcentral
CGGAUCGAAGUCUGCAACCCGACUUCGUGAAGCUGGAUUCGCUAGUAAUCGCGCAUCAGCCAUGGCGCGGUGAAUACGUUCCCGGGCCUUGUACACACCGCCCGUCAAGCCAUGAAAGCCGGGGGCGCCUGAAGUCCGUGACCGCGAGGGUCGGCCUAGGGUGAAACCGGUGAUUGGGGCUAAGUCGUAACAAGGUAUC